AAAGAGAAUUUCUCAGAAGACAGUCAUACCAUGCAUCACCCAUAUUGGUCAUUCAGCAGAAUCAGCCAACGAAAAGCAACAAGCACCUGGAGCAGUGUACACCUGUAAUCCCAGCACUUGGGAGGCUGAGGCAGGAGGAUCACCUCAAGUUUGAGGCCAGCCUGGGCUAUAUAGUGAGACCCUGUCCAAAAAAAGAAGAAAAGGAAGAAGAAGGAGGAGAAGGAUGAAGAAGGGGGGGAGCAAUAAGCAUCUCUUUGCCCUCUCGGAAGUCCCAAGA
This 277-nucleotide long non-coding RNA is filed under the name Fukomys damarensis (Damara mole-rat). RNAcentral's name for it is "lncRNA (ENSFDAG00000029184.1)". Lineage: Eukaryota; Metazoa; Chordata; Mammalia; Rodentia; Bathyergidae. The record is from RNAcentral.